GACGAACGCUGGCGGCGUGCUUAACACAUGCAAGUCGAACGGAAAGGCCCAGCUUGCUGGGUGCUCGAGUGGCGAACGGGUGAGUAACACGUGGGUGAUCUGCCUCUAACUUCGGGAUAAGCUUGGGAAACUGGGUCUAAUACCGGAUAGGACAAUCGUUUAGUGUCGGUUGUGGAAAGUUUUUUCGGUUAGGGAUGAGCCCGCGGCCUAUCAGCUUGUUGGUGGGGUAAUGGCCUACCAAGGCGUCGACGGGUAGCCGGCCUGAGAGGGUGGACGGCCACAUUGGGACUGAGAUACGGCCCAGACUCCUACGGGAGGCAGCAGUGGGGAAUAUUGCACAAUGGGCGCAAGCCUGAUGCAGCGACGCCGCGUGGGGGAUGACGGCCUUCGGGUUGUAAACCUCUUUCGACAGGGACGAAGCUUUGGUGACGGUACCUGUAAAAGAAGCACCGGCUAACUACGUG
Molecule: ribosomal RNA, 464 nt
Filed under: uncultured bacterium
Lineage: Bacteria
Description: partial 16S ribosomal RNA
Rfam family: Bacterial small subunit ribosomal RNA
Source: RNAcentral